This 235-nucleotide ribosomal RNA is filed under the name uncultured bacterium. RNAcentral describes it as "partial 16S ribosomal RNA". It matches the Rfam family "Bacterial small subunit ribosomal RNA", at positions 99 to 334 of the family's 1533-position model. The record is from RNAcentral.
CGGACGGGUGAGUAACGCGUGGGUAACCUGCCUCACGCUGGGGGACAACAGUUAGAAAUGACUGCUAAUACCGCAUAAGCGCACAGGACCGCAUGGUCCGGUGUGAAAAACUCCGGUGGUGUGAGAUGGACCCGCGUUUGAUUAGCUAGUUGGUGGGGUAACGGCCUACCAAGGCGACGAUCAAUAGCCGACCUGAGAGGGUGACCGGCCACAUUGGGACUGAGACACGGCCCAG